RNAcentral lists this ribosomal RNA (486 nucleotides) under uncultured bacterium. RNAcentral's name for it is "partial 16S ribosomal RNA". It matches the Rfam family "Bacterial small subunit ribosomal RNA", at positions 46 to 523 of the family's 1533-position model. The record is from RNAcentral.
GCCUAACACAUGCAAGUCGAGCGGCAGCAUGCUUAGUAGCAAUACUAAGUGAUGGCGAGCGGCGGACGGGUGAGGAACACGUAGGAACCUGCCCAAGAGAGGGGGACAACCAAUGGAAACGUUGGCUAAUACCGCAUAAUCUCUUAGGAGAAAAGUUGCCCGUAAGGGUAGCGCUUUUGGAGGGGCCUGCGUCCGAUUAGCUAGUUGGUGAGGUAAUAGCUCACCAAGGCUGUGAUCGGUAACUGGUCUGAGAGGACGACCAGUCACACUGGGACUGAGACACGGCCCAGACUCCUACGGGAGGCAGCAGUGGGGAAUCUUGGACAAUGGGGGCAACCCUGAUCCAGCGAUGCCGCGUGGGUGAAGAAGGCCUUCGGGUUGUAAAGCCCUUUAGGCUGGGACGAAGGAUGUGGGACGAAUAAUCCUGCAUUUUGACGGUACCAGCAGAAUAAGCACCGGCAAACUCUGUGCCAGCCGCCGCCGUAA